GACGAACGCUGGCGGCGUGCCUAAUACAUGCAAGUUGAGCGAUGAAGAUUGGUGCUUGCACCAAUUUGAAGAGCAGCGAACGGGUGAGUAACGCGUGGGGAAUCUGCCUUUGAGCGGGGGACAACAUUUGGAAACGAAUGCUAAUACCGCAUAACAACUUUAAACAUAAGUUUUAAGUUUGAAAGAUGCAAUUGCAUCACUCAAAGAUGAUCCCGCGUUGUAUUAGCUAGUUGGUGAGGUAAAGGCUCACCAAGGCGAUGAUACAUAGCCGACCUGAGAGGGUGAUCGGCCACAUUGGGACUGAGACACGGCCCAAACUCCUACGGGAGGCAGCAGUAGGGAAUCUUCGGCAACGGACGAAAGUCUGACCGAGCAACGCCGCGUGAGUGAAGAAGGUUGUCGGAUCGUAAAACUCUGUUGGUAGAGAAGAACGUUGGUGAGAGUGGAAAGCUCAUCAAGUGACGGUAACUACCCAGAAAGGGACGGCUAACUACGUG
Molecule: ribosomal RNA, 497 nt
Filed under: uncultured bacterium
Lineage: Bacteria
Description: partial 16S ribosomal RNA
Rfam family: Bacterial small subunit ribosomal RNA
Source: RNAcentral